This 265-nucleotide unclassified non-coding RNA is filed under the name fungal sp. RNAcentral's name for it is "partial internal transcribed spacer region". The stretch from base 1 to 46 matches the Rfam family "Eukaryotic small subunit ribosomal RNA", at positions 1786 to 1831 of the family's 1831-position model. Lineage: Eukaryota; Fungi. The record is from RNAcentral.
AAGUCGUAACAAGGUUUCCGUAGGUGAACCUGCGGAAGGAUCAUUAACACGUAUCCAACGUUAAAACAACCCUGUGAACCUUCAAUCUUGCUCGCGUAGCCCAUGAAAGCAGCAAUCCCUGGUAAAUCAUUGUUGACCAGAUUUUGAGUCAGGGACCUCUGCCGAUGAGAAGUUACAGUCACCACACUGUAACGCCGACAGGUCGCGAUAAUUCCGCUGACCACAAAAAACCGAACAACUGUUAACAAUGGAUAUCUUGGUUCUC